RNAcentral lists this ribosomal RNA (237 nucleotides) under uncultured soil bacterium. RNAcentral describes it as "partial 16S ribosomal RNA". It matches the Rfam family "Bacterial small subunit ribosomal RNA", at positions 26 to 266 of the family's 1533-position model. The record is from RNAcentral.
AGAUUGAACGCUGGCGGCAUGCUUUACACAUGCAAGUCGAACGGUAACAGGCCGCAAGGUGCUGACGAGUGGCGAACGGGUGAGUAAUGCAUCGGAACGUGCCCAGUCGUGGGGGAUAACGCAGCGAAAGCUGUGCUAAUACCGCAUACGAUCUAUGGAUGAAAGCGGGGGACCGAAAGGCCUCGCGCGAUUGGAGCGGCCGAUGUCAGAUUAGCUAGGUUGGUAGGGGUAAAGCCC